RNAcentral lists this small RNA (417 nucleotides) under Drosophila yakuba. RNAcentral describes it as "GE27882". The record is from RNAcentral. Lineage: Eukaryota; Metazoa; Arthropoda; Insecta; Diptera; Drosophilidae.
AGAAUCUGGAGUGACCUUGUCUUUACUAAAAGAUAUAACAGACGAAGAAUUAAAAGAGGUGAUUCCCAAAUUAGGAGUUCGGAUGGAAUUUAAAAGAGCACUUUGCUCAUGGAAUCAAAGAAAUAACUGUGAGAAACCUUCUAUAACCAAUGACCAUAAGGAAGACCAUGAAAAAAACUUCGUUCUAAAGAAGAGCAUUCGUUCAUUAUUAUCGGAGAAUGAACACGGAAAAGCAUUACUAAAUUAGAACACUUUGCUGGAAGUCGACAGAAGAAAUCAAGAAAUCGAAGUAUAUAACUUUAAUAAACAUUUUCGUGCUUACGAAAUUGGCUGUGCAAAAGAGCUUUUAAUAAAAAAGUUAAGUGAAUUCGACACCGCCCCCUUACAUUUAUAUCCUAUAAAUAAUAAAAAAACGUA